GAUGAAUGGUUAGUGAGAUCUCUGGAUUGCACUGAUCGGGGUUCGCGCCUCUUCAGAAAGCCGAGAAACUGCUCAAACUGUAUCAUUAGAGGAAGUAAAAGUCGUAACAAGGUUUCCGUAGGUGAACCUGCGGAAGGAUCAUUA
This 144-nucleotide ribosomal RNA is filed under the name Orthopyxis mianzani. RNAcentral describes it as "partial 18S ribosomal RNA". It matches the Rfam family "Eukaryotic small subunit ribosomal RNA", at positions 1687 to 1831 of the family's 1831-position model. Lineage: Eukaryota; Metazoa; Cnidaria; Hydrozoa; Leptothecata; Campanulariidae. The record is from RNAcentral.